RNAcentral lists this ribosomal RNA (509 nucleotides) under Canthyporus petulans. RNAcentral's name for it is "partial 16S ribosomal RNA". The stretch from base 386 to 509 matches the Rfam family "Bacterial large subunit ribosomal RNA", at positions 2473 to 2597 of the family's 2925-position model. Lineage: Eukaryota; Metazoa; Arthropoda; Insecta; Coleoptera; Dytiscidae. The record is from RNAcentral.
GUCCUUUAGGAAUAUAAUUUAAGGUCUGAUCUGCCCACUGAAAUUAAUUGAAUGGCCGCAGUAAUUUGACUGUGCAAAGGUAGCAUAAUCAUUAGUUUUUUAAUUAAAAGCUUGAAUGAAGGGUUGGACGAAAUAAAAUCUGUCUUUAGUUUAUUAUUAGAAUUUAAUUUUUAAGUUAAAAAGCUUAGAUAUUUAUAAAAGACGAGAAGACCCUAUAGAUCUUUAUUUUAUUAAAAUUUAAUUUUAUUUUAGAUUUAUUUAUUUAUUAUUUUUUAUAGAAUUUUAUUGGGGUAAUAAAAAGAUUAAGUUAAUUCUUUAUUUAUUUUACAAUAAUAAUUGAUUUUUUGAUCCAUUAGUAAUGAUUAUAAGAUUAAGUUACCUUAGGGAUAACAGCGUAAUUUUUUUAGAGAGUUCUUAUCGAUAAAAAAGUUUGCGACCUCGAUGUUGGAUUAAAAUUAAAUUUAGGCGUAGAAGUUUAGAUUUUUGGUCUGUUCGACCAUUAAAAUUUU